GAUGAACGCUGGCGGCGUGCUUAACACAUGCAAGUCGAACGGAAAGGCCCAAGCUUGCUUGGGUACUCGAGUGGCGAACGGGUGAGUAACACGUGGGUGAUCUGCCCUGCACUUCGGGAUAAGCCUGGGAAACUGGGUCUAAUACCGGAUAGGACCACUUCUUGGAUGUUGUGGUGGAAAGUUUUUUCGGUGUGUGAUGAGCUCGCGGCCUAUCAGCUUGUUGGUGGGGUAAUGGCCUACCAAGGCGUCGACGGGUAGCCGGCCUGAGAGGGUGUACGGCCACAUUGGGACUGAGAUACGGCCCAGACGCCUACGGGAGGCAGCAGUGGGGAAUAUUGCACAAUGGGCGCAAGCCUGAUGCAGCGACGCCGCGUGGGGGAUGACGGCCUUCGGGCUGUAAACUCCUUUCGCUAGGGACGAAGCGUUUUGUGACGGUACCUGGAGAAGAAGCACCGGCUAACUACGUG
Molecule: ribosomal RNA, 467 nt
Filed under: uncultured bacterium
Lineage: Bacteria
Description: partial 16S ribosomal RNA
Rfam family: Bacterial small subunit ribosomal RNA
Source: RNAcentral